AGCAGCCGCGGUAAUUCCAGCUCCAAUAGCGUAUAUUAAAGUUGUUGCAGUUAAAAAGCUCGUAGUUGAAUUUCGGGAUUCGUCGGUUGGUCGGGCUUCACUGUCCGCACUGACCUGACGGAUUCCUACCUUCUGAAUAACCAGCAUGCUAUUAAGUUAGUGCGUUGGGGAAGCAGAGCUAUUACCUUGAAAAAAUUAGAGUGCUUAAAGCAGGCUUGCGCUUGAAUAGAUUAGCAUGGAAUAAUAAAAUAGGACGGCAUGGUUCUAUUUUGUUGGUUUCUAGGAUCACCGUAAUGAUUAAUAGGGAUAGUUGGGGGCAUUAGUAUUCAAUUGUCAGAGGUGAAAUUCUUGGAUUUAUUGAAGACUAACUUCUGCGAAAGCAUUUGCCAAGGAUGUUUUCAUUAAUCAAGAACGAAAGUUAGGGGAUCGAAGACGAUCAGAUACCGUCGUAGUCUUAACCAUAAACUAUGCCGACUAGGGAUCGGACGAUGUUAAUUUUUUAAUGACUCG
This 510-nucleotide ribosomal RNA is filed under the name uncultured Acaulospora. RNAcentral's name for it is "SSU rRNA". It matches the Rfam family "Eukaryotic small subunit ribosomal RNA", at positions 569 to 1078 of the family's 1831-position model. The record is from RNAcentral. Lineage: Eukaryota; Fungi; Glomeromycota; Glomeromycetes; Diversisporales; Acaulosporaceae.